RNAcentral lists this unclassified non-coding RNA (2396 nucleotides) under Leishmania donovani. RNAcentral describes it as "gene:LdHU3.24.0280(CDS-product:ATP-dependent_DEAD /H_RNA_helicase_putative)". The record is from RNAcentral. Lineage: Eukaryota; Euglenozoa; Kinetoplastea; Trypanosomatida; Trypanosomatidae.
UUGUGCCCCUCUUGUAAACCACAUCUUUCUCGAAGCAGCGCUCAUGUCCGAAGCCGAAGUACAGACGGAGUGGUCUGAGCUGCCGCUUGACACGCGGGUGCUCGAGGCCCUGACAGACCUAGCGUGGAAGAAGCCGACCGCCGUCCAAAGCGCUUGCGUGCCGCUCGCGCUCAAGGGCAAAGACAUCUCCAUCCAAUCCCGCACCGGCUCUGGUAAGACCGGUGCCUUUGUCAUCCCAGCCGUGCAGCGCAUCAUCACGGAGCGGGAGCAACGUGGCAAUGCUCGAGCACUGCCCAACCCGCGCGUCCUCAUUCUUGUUCCGUCAGUCGAGUUGUGCGAGCAGACGGCCGAGGCGGCGCAGUUGAUAGCCAAGUAUGUGCAGCCUCGGCUGAUCAUCGACAACCUGACGUCUGGCGGCGCCGUGACGGCAAGACGCAUUCAGUCUGCCCACAUAGUCAUUACCACCGCCGCUCUACUGGCGAAGGGGUGCAGCCAGGGCACCGUGACGGCUGACACCUUCCAGCAUGUCCGCUUUUUCGUCCUCGACGAGGCCGACGUGGUGGCCUCGAUGGCGGAGCGAUCCCUGCGCACGGUGCAGUCGUUGUUGCCACCGAGCAUGCAGGUUAUUCUAGCUUCCGCCACCCUAACCAAGGGCGUCGCGGCCGUCAAAGGCCAACUACUGCGGCACCCGGUGAAUGUGGUGCUCACGUCAGAGGACGUGGAGGAGUUGGCGCGUGGCGACGUCGAGGACAGCGCAGCCUCGCCGCAGGGCCCGGUUGUCGAGUCCCGUGUCAGGGUGAGGGACCCACUGAAGAAGACACUGCACCAGUACUACUUGGUGGCCACGGACGAGUGCCACAGCCACACGCUUCUCUUUGGUCUCUACCGCAUGGCCCUCAUCACCGGCAAGACACUCAUCUUCGUGAACGACGACGAGCAAACGUAUCGUCUCCAGAAUUUCCUGGAGCAACUCGGGGUGGCAACGCUCGCGUACGAUGCAAACCUACCCAUCAACGUGCGCCUCGACACUCUGCGUCGUUUCCAAAGCGGCAUGGUGUCCACGCUCGUGUGCACCGAUGGCACACUGGAGAGCGCAAUGCAGCUGCAAGCUUCGCUGGAGGAGUUGCGACCAGGUGAGAAGGGCUCGGACGGUCAGUCGGGGUCAUCGUCAUCGCGGCGCCGGUCGCGGUCGGCUUCCGUGUGUAGUCGUGCGAACACCGAGGCGCCAUCGGCAUUGCACCGCGGCAUCGACUUUGCGCACGUGCGCAACGUUGUUCUGUUCGACGGGGUGGAGGCGACUGACCCAAUCGCAUUGUCUCGUUACAUUCACCGCAUCGGCCGCGCAGGUCGUGCCGGCGAGGAGGGCGUGUCCAUCGCGAUUUUCACCGUGCCGCAAGCCCGCAAGUAUCUGCGCCCGCUACAGGAGUACUGCACAGAGCGCGGCGACGUCAUUCGGCCGUUUCGGCAGAUGCAGCGGGCUGAGGUGGCAAAGCUGCAGUACCGCGUGGACAGCGUGCUCGGCAACAUCACGCGUGCCUCGACGCGCAAGAUGAGGGUGGCCUCCGUCGCCGCGGAGCUGAGUCGUAGCUCGUACCUGGCGAAUCACCUCUCGCAGAAGGACACGGACGCCCUGCAGAGAGUUAUGCGGCGGUCCUCAAAGAGGAUCAGGGUGGAGCGCAACAUCCUCGAGGUGCCCGAGUACAUGCAUCUGUCGACGGCAGACGACGUAGGCGCGUACCGGAAGCGUGUGCAAGCCAAGCAGACGCAGUCGAACCGUCUGCGCAAGGCAACGCAGAAGGCUUCCGCAGACCCGCUGAAGGCGGUGGUGUCUAAGCUGCGCUCCUCCAAGCGCAAGGCAUAAAGCCAUAAGCGCAGAGCCGAAAAGGGAGGGAGAUGAUGAAUGCAGCGCACUCUGUGUAAAAUGGAGACGGACGGACGGCAAGAUGAGGUGCUCUCUCUCUGUGUUGGUGUGUGCAGGUGUCCAUGCACGCAUGACUGUGUGGCACCGCUGGCAUUGGCUGAUUUUGUGGGGAAGGGGUUUGCCGCUCUUUUUUUGCACAUCUUCGUAGGAGUGCUGCAGAGGUGUGCGGAGCCGUCCACCUCCCCUCGUCCUUGUUGUUCCCGUCGCUUGUCCACCGUGACAGCGUCUCUUGGACCUUGAUACCCGUCUCCGUCUGCCGCCGCCGCCCCCCCCCUCCUCCUCACCAUCACCAGCGCGUAAGCAGGUGUGCUAAGCUUCUUGUUAUUCGAUUAAGGGACGCAUUACGCGAUUCAGCAUUCUCAACGUCUGCCACUGCCUCGAGCAGCGAAGAGUGCCGCGACGUGCGCAUUCCUCUUGCUCUCUGGCCAACUUCAUGAGUCACUGUGUGCCACAGGCACCGUAGCGAACGCACCCC